GAACAUUCAGUCCUGAGUACAGUGGCGCACGGGUGAGUAACACGUGACUAACCUACCCUGGAGUGGGGAAUAACUGAGGGAAACCUUAGCUAAUACCGCAUAACACCUACGGGUCAAAGGAGCAAUUCGCUUCAGGAGGGGGUCGCGGCCGAUUAGUUAGUUGGCGGGGUAAUGGCCCACCAAGACAGUGAUCGGUAUCCGGCCUGAGAGGGCGCACGGACACACUGGAACUGAAACACGGUCCAGACUCCUACGGGAGGCAGCAGUGGGGAAUUUUGCGCAAUGGGGGAAACCCUGACGCAGCAACGCCGCGUGGAGGAUGAAAUCCCUUGGGAUGUAAACUCCUUUCGAUCGGGACGAUUAUGACGGUACCGGAAGAAGAAGCCCCGGCUAACUUCGUGCCAGCAGCCGCGGUAAUACGAGGGGGGCAAGCGUUGUUCGGAAUUAUUGGGCGUAAAGGGAGUGUAGGCGGUUUGGUAAGUUGUGUGUGAAAUCUUCGGGCUCAACCCGAAGUCUGCACACAAAACUGCCGGGCUUGAGGGUGGGAGAGGUGAGUGGAAUUUCCGGUGUAGCGGUGAAAUGCGUAGAUAUCGGAAGGAACACCUGUGGCGAAAGCGGCUCACUGGACCAUUUCUGACGCUGAAACUCGAAAGCUAGGGGAGCAAACAGGAUUAGAUACCCUGGUAGUCCUAGCCCUAAACGAUGACUGUUUGGUGUGGCGGGUACCCAAUCCCGCCGUGCCGUAGCUAACGCGUUAAACAGUCCGCCUGGGGGAGUACGGUCGCAAGGCUGAAACUCAAAGGAAAUUGACGGGGGCCCGCACAAGCGGUGGAGCAUGUGGUUUAAUUCGACGCAAC
RNAcentral lists this ribosomal RNA (857 nucleotides) under uncultured soil bacterium. RNAcentral describes it as "bacterial SSU rRNA". It matches the Rfam family "Bacterial small subunit ribosomal RNA", at positions 75 to 960 of the family's 1533-position model. The record is from RNAcentral.